Molecule: small RNA, 487 nt
Filed under: Pongo abelii (Sumatran orangutan)
Lineage: Eukaryota; Metazoa; Chordata; Mammalia; Primates; Hominidae
Description: retained intron
Source: RNAcentral
GAGUCCUUCAGGAAUCUGUGCAUAGAAUGCCAUAGUGCAGAGGAAACAGCCCCAGAAAAUGGAACAUCUGCUAAGUGAGACUCCUCAGCCAGGCCAGAGAAUGUGCAUUCUGAUGGACUGCUUCUCAUUUGCACCGAUCACUGUGAGUGCCUGAUGGGUGGGCAUCUGGUGCCCAGAGAAGGAGUUGUUCUAUUAUCCUUACACUCCAUAAAGAACAGGUAGAAAUGAAUGCUUACCAAGAUGAAAUCCACCCAUUGUUUCUGAAUGGCUCAGUUUUGAUUUCAUCUUCCAAGAGAGUAUCAUGGAACUGAACUUUCAAGAUCAUGGCAUCUGGACAUGGAGACAACAGAACCCUCAUCUGGCCACCUGCUGCUUGUUGACCAAUUCCCAUAUAAACCACUAACUUCAGUCAGUUGGAGAGACGGAUUUGAGAUUUGCCUUCUGUCUCUCAGCUGAUGUCACCAGCAAUAAAGCCUUCUUCCCUGGC